AUGAAAUCYUCAACCUACAAGCUUUUGUGGUUUGUAGGCUUGGACUUGGAGGCUUGUCGGCCGUUAUCGGUCGGCUCCUCUUAAAUGCAUUAGCUUGGUUCCUUGCGGAUCGGCUCUCGGUGUGAUAAUGUCUACGCCGCGACCGUGAAGCGUUUGGCGAGCUUCUAACCGUCUUAUAAGACAGCUUUAUGACCUC
Molecule: unclassified non-coding RNA, 196 nt
Filed under: Ganoderma lucidum
Lineage: Eukaryota; Fungi; Basidiomycota; Agaricomycetes; Polyporales; Polyporaceae
Description: ITS2
Source: RNAcentral